CUCCAUCUCAGUCAGUCGACAAGCAAAAGCUCUCAGUUCCCUAUGAAAUCAUAGGUGACUGCCACAAACAAAAUCAUGCCCAACUUCAAAAUAAAAGGAGUUCAGAGUUAACAAGUUACCAGAAAUUAUCACAAAAUUAAGUAAUAAGGGAUCAAAAAGUUCCCUCCAACAUAAUCUAAGGCGUUAUAAGCUUAGAUAAGAGGCAAAUUUGAGGAUAAACCGAUAAAGCGAACAAAUCCCCCAAUAUGCUUCAAAAUUAAGAUAAAAAUGAAGUAAAAGACAUCAC
RNAcentral lists this unclassified non-coding RNA (286 nucleotides) under Hevea brasiliensis (rubber tree). The record is from RNAcentral. Lineage: Eukaryota; Viridiplantae; Streptophyta; Magnoliopsida; Malpighiales; Euphorbiaceae.